RNAcentral lists this transfer RNA (89 nucleotides) under Sphingobacterium multivorum. RNAcentral's name for it is "tRNA-Ser(gga)". It matches the Rfam family "tRNA". From Rfam's summary of the family: Transfer RNA (tRNA) molecules are approximately 80 nucleotides in length. Their secondary structure includes four short double-helical elements and three loops (D, anti-codon, and T loops). Further hydrogen bonds mediate the characteristic L-shaped molecular structure. tRNAs have two regions of fundamental functional importance: the anti-codon, which is responsible for specific mRNA codon recognition, and the 3' end, to which the tRNAs corresponding amino acid is attached (by aminoacyl-tRNA synthetases). tRNAs cope with the degeneracy of the genetic code in two manners: having more than one tRNA (with a specific anti-codon) for a particular amino acid; and 'wobble' base-pairing, i.e. permitting non-standard base-pairing at the 3rd anti-codon position. Lineage: Bacteria; Pseudomonadati; Bacteroidota; Sphingobacteriia; Sphingobacteriales; Sphingobacteriaceae. RNAcentral also lists the same sequence under 2 other names. The record is from RNAcentral.
GGAAAGGUGUCAGAGUGGUCGAAUGAGCAGUCCUGGAAAGACUGUAUACGGGAUGACUGUAUCGAGGGUUCGAAUCCCUCCCUUUCCGC